AUUGUUCAUUGUGGAAUCCCUGAGCAACAGUGCCUGGCCACAGUAACCAUCGGUAAACAUUUGCUGAAUAAACCAACACAGAACAAUGGAUCUAAAGACCACAAAACUCUGUCCUGGGUUUGAAUCCGAGCUUUGACAAUUUAUUGGCUGUGUUGCCUUUGAGAAAUUAUUUGCCUCUCUGAGACUCAAAUUCCUCCAAUUAGAAUAUGGUGGUGGGGGAGAGUCACCCCAUCAGGGUUGUGAUGAGGAUUAAUGAGAUUGUGUUUACAGCAGCACCUAACACACUGCUCUACAAAUUCCAAGCACUCAAAAAAUCGUUAUACUUAUUAUUUUCCAGAGAUAAGAUAAACCUUAAAACUUUACUAAGAUUAAAGUCACUUAAACUUGGACCUCUUUCUCUUUUUCAGAGUCUAGAGCAGUACAAAACCCAGCCAGAGGAUGUCUCUAUCAUUCCCACCCAGGUGGGGACUUCCACUCUUGGAAAAAUGCCUCCUUUUGUCUGAGAAAGAGAGCAGAUCAUCACAUCAUUUUCCUGAGAAUAGUGGAUCCCAUAUAUAACGGUUUAAAGCUGACAGAUAAAAAUUUCCAAGCUUCAUCUCCUCUUCCAGGACACCACCUGUACCCCAUUUCAGUGGAGAGCAGAUACUUUAUUCAGAAAUGCUAGCCAUUACUAAGCAUUCUGCUGUCCUGUUUCCUGUGGCUCCACCAGUUGGAUGAUGAUGCUUCUCUCCCCCACAUCUGUCAAGCCCUCCUAAUUACUCCUGCAGGUGGCCACGAUGAAAGGGCCUCUUUCCAUCACAGGUGCCAUCAUAAGCCUUACGCCCAGGACAGAAAUGUGACCUCAGUGACUACUGCCCUUCCUCUCUCCUGAUACCUGCCUUCCUUCUGCUCCCCGGCUGCUGUGCCUCGUUCUUCCUCACCUUCCUUCUAUGCUGAAAGAGUGUGAUAUAGCCAGUGGGGCCCUAGCUCUGAGAUCUGCUGGCCUGAGUUCAAGCGCUGGCUCACCCAUUGACUUAAGCAAGUAAGUCAAUUUCCCUAAAUAAAGCAAGUAAGCAAGUAAGUCAAUUUCCCUAAAUAGAGGCAACUACUUUCUGAUUUUUAUCAUCACAGUUACGUGUCUCCUAGAGCUGCAUAUAAAUGGAAUGUUACAGAUCAAUUCUUGUGUGUUUGGCUUCUUUUGAUCAACAUAAUGUUUCUGAGAUUCAUCCAUGGUGUUGAACCAAUAGUUUGUUUUUUAUUGCUGAGUAUAUCUAUCGCAUGCAUAAGCCACAACUUAUCUGUUUACCUACUGAUAGAUGUUUGUGUUGUUUCCAGUAUUGAGCUAUUACGAAUAGAGCUGCUAAUAAUAUUCAUGUUCAAGUCCUCUGUGUCUAUAUUUUGAUUUCUCCUCAGUAAAUACCCAGCAAUUUUACUACUGGGUCAGUUGUACAAAGUGGUCGUGCCAUUUUACAUGCCCAUCAGCAAUGUGUGAGUGUUUCAGUCUCUCAUCCUCACCUUGGUAUUGAGAAUAAAGUAGUAUUAGUGGUUUUGCAAGGAGGUUUUCAUUUGCAUUUUCCUGAUGAUUUAUGAUGUUAACCACCUUCAUGUAAUUAUUGGCCACUCAUAUAUCUUUUGCUAAAUGUCAAUUUAAGCCUUUUGCCCAUUUUAUUAAGUUGUUAGCCUUAUUAAGAUGAGUUCUUUCUAUAUUCUAAAUACAAGUCCUUUGACAUAUAAAGUAGUUUUAAAGAUACUUUCCUAACCUAUCUGAAACAGGGGGAGGAGCCAAUUAGAUAAUGCUGUAACAGCCUAUGAAACUUAAGGACAGCCUUUCUUGAUAGAAAUAACAAUCCCGCUAUGUACAAGGAACAGUAAAACUGAGGCUAAGAGCAAUGCAAGGAUGGCACAUUUCCUAAGUACAGAGAUGACAGGAAGCCUCGGUUCAUGCCAUCUUGGAAAGUCUCUAGCAGUGAUGUGUGGAUGUCUGGUCUCCCAUGAGAUUCCUCUGAUUCUGCAUCUUCCUCAACACUACUCAUCAGCUUGUGUCAUGAUUAUCAUUCCUGAGCCCUUGCUUAAGUUUUGGAUCAAUUUCUUUGCUCUGAUCUCUAUGGAUUUCCUGAUUCCUAAAACACUGGGUUUUGAGCUUCCUGCACCAAGAUGUAUGUUUUCGUUUUCUUGUGUGACUUGCUGCUUACUCUGAGUCCUGUCUUAGUUCCAACUUCUUUCCCACCACCUGGCUCUGACUCAUGUCUUGCUUUUAUCUCCAAGGUCAAGACGUGCUUCUGCUCUGGGCAGUCUGCAUAGCUUUAGGCCCUUGGUACCGUCUUGGGUCUAGCCCACUUACUUUUAUUCCCUGCAUGUUCUGGCUUGCUCAUGACCUAUAAGACCUGGUUCCUCAUUCCUUAGCCUAGAGAUAAUAUUAUGAAGGAUGAGGUGGAUUCUGUUUCCCAGGAUAAAAUAUUAGCUUUGGCAUUUAAGGUCUUUACCAACUGACUUCUUGUCUUCUUUCCCUAUCUACUUGUAGUUGAUUCAUAAAUAAAUGUCCCAACAGGAAAACAUAGUUAUAUCUUUCCCCAUUAAAUGGGCAUCAAUAGAAAAUUGUAACCCAGGACCAAAAGAGUUGACAAUAUACUGCUAUUUCAAUGACAAGUUAUUCUGAGCUAGAAGAAUGAAUCUGGGCCCAUGUGAUUUCUGACUCAUACCUUCGUUCAUUCAUUCAUUUAGCAUUUACUGGUCACUUGCAAAGUGUUGAGUUUGGAACUGAAAAUAUAAACAACUCAGCUGCAAAACCUUAUUCUGAGGUGUUCACUGACUGGUGAGGAAAGCCAACAGAUAAAGAAAUUUCCAUCCACAAUAUAAGUGCUACAGUGCAGGUACAAGGUGCCACAGAAGUUCAGGGGAGAAGCGGAAUGUUUAUUCCUGGAAGCCAUCAGGAUAUUGACAGUGAUGCUGAUAUUUCUCUGGAAAAGUAUUAUUUGAACAGUGGAUGUGUUAAAGGAUAGGUAGGAAGAUGACAGAAAGAUGAGGAAGACAGGGAACAGUAGAAACAAAAACAUGUUCCUCCAAAUCGUUCACCUCCCAAGAUGCUAGAAAUACUUGGCUAUAGAAAUCCUAGCUAAGUCAUGCUGGGAUGGAGUAUCUCCCACUGCACUACUAUUUGAGGUGAGUACAUGGAGGAGAAUAUUGGUAAAUAAGCAAGACAUGGAUCAUCUCAGUCCCAGAGCACCCCAUACUGUUCCUUCUUAACAGUAGCCAGUUCGAUUGACUAAACUUUGUGCCUUGUCCACUGAGCUCUGAAAACAAAGCCCAGGUCUGUUUUGCGGUCUGUUACAAUACUAAAGCCUGUGACUGUAGGUACUUGGUAUUUGUUAAAGAGUUGGGUGCAUGAUGCCGUGAACACCAGAUGGGGGAGAAUGGCCCUGUCUCUGCAGGCAAAUCACUUGCCCUGGCUGACAGGGCAUUCUAAACGUUGAUUUCUAGCUUUCCAUUGCUAUCCUGUGUUAGCGUUUUGCUUCUUUCUCUGCAUAUUCAGAAUCAUUUAAACCACUAAAAUUUGAAGGUGAUCUUAGAAUAUUUUGUGCCUGUUUGAGAAAAGACUUUGGGGGAAAUUCUUUUGUAACAGGAAAUUUAAAAUAGCAUUUUCCUAGGACUGACUCAUACUACUUUUCCUUACAGAGGCUGCUCUUAGGGGAAGGGAUCCCUAUGUAGAAAUCUGACCCUGAACAGUGUAAAUGUAUUUGACAUCUAACAGAGCAUGAAAAUGGUUAGAUACAAUCACCCCAGCUGUCAGUUUGAAACUGUGCUACAAAAGCAACGAUAGAGUAAGUGACUUCUAUAAUUUCUGAAGAAACAACUAAAAGGGAACCUGCUGUUUUCUUGCAAAACUGCAUCCCCAGAGCAAAUGUACCAGCAGAACGGGCCUGAUCAGAAUGUGAAUGGACAGAAGGCAAAGAGCAAUGUGACAUCAGGGAAUUGCAAAUCAAACCUACAAUGAAAUAAUACUACCUCACACCUACUAGGACAACUAUAAUCAAAUAGAUAAUAACAAAUGCUGAUGAGGAUGUGGAGAAAUUGGAACCCUCAGACACUGCUAAUGAGCAUUUAAAUGGUGCAUCUGCUUUAGGUAACAGCCUGGCAGUUACAAAAAGUUAUAGAGUUACCUUAUAUACAUACACAUGUCAACUCGCACAUAAACACUCAAGGCAGCAUUACUCAUAAUACCUGUUAUGGUCUGAAUGUUUGUGUCACCCCCAAAUUUAUAUGUUGAAACCUAAUCCCCAAUGUGAUAGUAUUAAGAGGUAGGGCCUUUGGGAGGUGAUUAAGUCAUAAGAGUCAUCAUGAAUGGGAUGAAUGCCUUUAUAAAAGAGGCCAGAGGGAGUUUGUUUGCCCCCUUCACCAUGUGAAGAUGCAGCAAGAAAAUAUCAUCUAUGAAGCACAGAGUGAUCCCUCACCAGACGCUGAAUGUGCUCACUCCUUGAUCUUGGACUUCCCAGCCCCCAGAACUGUGAGCAAUAAAUUGCUGUUGUUUAUCAAUUA
Macaca mulatta (Rhesus monkey) is the source of this 4512-nucleotide non-coding RNA. The record is from RefSeq and is a predicted model, not a curated record. Lineage: Eukaryota; Metazoa; Chordata; Mammalia; Primates; Cercopithecidae.